RNAcentral lists this ribosomal RNA (378 nucleotides) under uncultured bacterium. RNAcentral describes it as "bacterial SSU rRNA". It matches the Rfam family "Bacterial small subunit ribosomal RNA", at positions 521 to 896 of the family's 1533-position model. The record is from RNAcentral.
UAAGACGAACCGUGCGAACGUUAUUCGGAAUUACUGGGCUUAAAGCGCGUGUAGGCGGAUCGGCACGUCCGAGGCUGAAAGCCCCCGGCUCAACCGGGGAAGGGGCCCGGAUACGACCGGUCUGGAGGGGGGUAGGGGGCGCUGGAACUUCCGGUGGAGCGGUGAAAUGCGUUGAGAUCGGAAGGAACGCCCGUGGCGAAAGCGAGCGCCUGGGCCCCACCUGACGCUGAGACGCGAAAGCCAGGGGAGCGAACGGGAUUAGAUACCCCGGUAGUCCUGGCCGUAAACCAUGAGCACUGGGUAGGGGGCUCGCCGAUGGGCUCCCUGCCGUAGCGAAAGCGUGAAGUGCUCCGCCUGGGGAGUAUGGUCGCAAGGCUG